Molecule: ribosomal RNA, 376 nt
Filed under: uncultured organism
Description: partial 16S ribosomal RNA
Rfam family: Bacterial small subunit ribosomal RNA
Source: RNAcentral
GUAGGGUGCGAGCGUUAUCCGGGAAUCAUUGGGCGUAAAGAGCUCGUAGGCGGUUCAGCAAGUCGGCUGUGAAAUUCCGAGGGCUCAACCUCGGAACUGCAGUCGAUACUGCUGUGACUCGAGUCCGGUAGAGGAGAAUGGAAUUCCCGGUGUAGCGGUGAAAUGCGCAGAUAUCGGGAGGAACACCAGCAGCGAAGGCGGUUCUCUGGGCCGGCACUGACGCUGAGGAGCGAAAGCGCGGGUAGCAAACAGGAUUAGAUACCCUGGUAGUCCACGCCGUAAACGUUGGAUACUAGGUGUGGCGUUCCGACCAACGGUCGCCGUGCCGAAGCUAACGCAUUAAGUAUCCCGCCUGGGGAGUACGGCCGCAAGGCUA